Molecule: ribosomal RNA, 497 nt
Filed under: uncultured bacterium
Lineage: Bacteria
Description: partial 16S ribosomal RNA
Rfam family: Bacterial small subunit ribosomal RNA
Source: RNAcentral
GAUGAACGCUGGCGGCGUGCCUAAUACAUGCAAGUCGAGCGAACGGACGAGAAGCUUGCUUCUCUGAUGUUAGCGGCGGACGGGUGAGUAACACGUGGAUAACCUACCUAUAAGACUGGGAUAACCUCGGGAAACCGUAGCUAAUACCGGAUAAUAUUUUGAACCGCAUGGUUCAAAAGUGAAAGACGGUCUUGCUGUCACUUAUAGAUGGAUCCGCGCUGCAUUAGAUAGUUGGUAAGGUAACGGCUUACCAAGGCAACGAUGCAUAGCCGACCUGAGAGGGUGAUCGGCCACACUGGAACUGAGACACGGUCCAGACUCCUACGGGAGGCAGCAGUAGGGAAUCUUCCGCAAUGGGCGAAAGCCUGACGGAGCAACGCCGCGUGAGUGAUGAAGGUCUUCGGAUCGUAAAACUCUGUUAUUAGGGAAGAACAUAUGUGUAAGUAACUGUGCACAUCUUGACGGUACCUAAUCAGAAAGCCACGGCUAACUACGUG